CAGCCGCCACGGGAAUACGGAGGGUGCAAGCGUUAAUCGGAAUUACUGGGCGUAAAGCGCACGCAGGCGGUUUGUUAAGUCAGAUGUGAAAUCCCCGAGCUUAACUUGGGAACUGCAUUUGAAACUGGCAAGCUAGAGUCUUGUAGAGGGGGGUAGAAUUCCAGGUGUAGCGGUGAAAUGCGUAGAGAUCUGGAGGAAUACCGGUGGCGAAGGCGGCCCCCUGGACAAAGACUGACGCUCAGGUGCGAAAGCGUGGGGAGCAAACAGGAUUAGAUACCCGGGUAGUCCCUGUCUCUUAUAC
Molecule: ribosomal RNA, 301 nt
Filed under: uncultured bacterium
Lineage: Bacteria
Description: partial 16S ribosomal RNA
Rfam family: Bacterial small subunit ribosomal RNA
Source: RNAcentral